CUAGCCUCAGGUGAUCCACCUGCCUUGGCCUCCCAAGCUGCUGAGAUUAUAGGCGUAGCCACCAAGCCUGGCCUCCACUUCAAAUCUCUAUUGCCUUCUCUCCAGGCCUGGGCCAGACUAGGCCAAGGAGAAGGAAUUCUCACCCAUGACCUCUUCCAACUACUUGAAGCCUUCUGCAGCAUGUCCAGGGCCUCCCAGAAGAAGUCCUUCUGUGCAGCCAUCAGGGGCAUCCACCCUACGAUCUCCUUCAUCUUCUCCAUGCGGUCCUGCAACGUGUGGCAACUGUGGAUCUGGCUAAGGUCAUGGAGUGGUGGAAUGUCAUCUUGAAGACCCGCUGCCCGCUAGACUGCAGAUAGACCUCAACACAGUCGCAGGCCCGGCUGCUGGUGGUACCCACCACUUCCUGCUGCUCCCGAGUGGCCAAGACGUACAGGGCCGGACUCCAGAACCCUGAUCUCGGAGGCGCGGACUGAGUCUGCGACAGAUGCGUCUCCACACGCCUUCCGCAUCGCACACUUCGUGGAAGUAGCGGCAGGUCUGGCCGAGGGCGACAAGGUCUCUGACUGGGAGGAAUGAGAUGAUAUGCUCCACCUGGGAGGGAGGAGGGAAGAGACGGGGGGGGUCAUCGGUGGCUCCUUGGUGGUCUGGCCCCCAAUCCUAUUAUUCUCAACCCCCCUCCCCAAGGACUCACCAGCUCUGGGGGGAACAACUGGAUAGAAAUUGGAUUCCCUUUCCCCUUCUUCUCUUCAACCCCAAGCUCCGGGCCACAAGAAGGGCAGCUUCUCUUCACCUACCCGAGAAGGGGUGCAUAGGGUCCCAUGAGGGUCCCACAUCCUUUUUUCGCUUCUCUCUGCCUAUCUUGGGGCUCAUCUGACUCCAGCCAGGUGCAGUCAUGUCCUCCCCUCUCUCUCCAGACCCAUCCCUAACUUCUCCAAAUAACUCCUCCCAAUCUCCUGCGGCCAAUCCCCCUCACCCGGAGCCCCUCCUCCCGUCCACACAGCCUGGUGAAUUUUUGCAGCUUCCGUCUCUGGCUUCUCCUCACCAUCCUGAUUGCCCCCUCCCUGCUUCUGCCCUCCUGUCUCCUAGGCCCUUGGCCCCCCGUUCCUGCUGGCUUUCCCACACCAUGUCCCCUGCCUAGGCUUGGGGGACCUCUGGGGCCCCUCUGCCUCCUAGACCCCUCCCCCAUGGAGUCUGGGGCUAACAAACCUCUCUGUGACCUCACUGUUUGGCCACUGUGACCUGUUCCCUUUAAUCUUGUCCAGGACCCAUCUCUCAGACAGCUCCUGGGUUCUAGCUCAGUUCUAGCCAUCACAUGGCUCAAGGGAUAUGCAUUUUACUGGAGAAAUAAAGUGUGAAUUACUGGUA
This is a long non-coding RNA of Cercocebus atys (sooty mangabey), 1365 nucleotides long. RefSeq lists it as uncharacterized. The record is from RefSeq and is a predicted model, not a curated record. The transcript is spliced from 4 exons. Lineage: Eukaryota; Metazoa; Chordata; Mammalia; Primates; Cercopithecidae.